GGGCAUAGCGUAGUCGACGUGGCAAGUCGUCUGGCAACAGCUCGUGCCGUACGUGCAUUCGGUAAGGAUGCCAUCGUAAAUCUAAUCUUGUAAUCACCUGUUGAAACUUGAUUUUGAAACUUCUACAGAUUACGACCAGCGCUAACACGUCGUGGGGUUUCCUGUAGCAGAUCUCUCACAGCAGCAACAUUUUCUUCACUUCGAGCACUUCUUCGCCUGUCCGAAUUGCCCUUGUUGCGGUUUAAGCUUGUUCCUGGGUUUUGGUAUUUACGAACGUCUUU
Paramuricea clavata is the source of this 281-nucleotide non-coding RNA. The record is from the annotation of a GenBank genome assembly. NCBI's taxonomy places the organism in Eukaryota, Metazoa, Cnidaria, Anthozoa, Malacalcyonacea, Plexauridae.